UACGAGGGGUGCAAGCGUUGCUCGGAAUUAUUGGGCGUAAAGGGUAGGUAGGUGGUCUCAUUUGUCUGGGGUGAAAGCCUUGGGCUUAACUCAAGAAGUGCCCCGGAAACGGUGAGACUAGAGUCUUGGAGAGGGUCGUGGAAUUCCCGGUGUAGCGGUGAAAUGCGUAGAGAUCGGGAGGAACACCAGAGGCGAAGGCGGCGACCUGGACAAGUACUGACACUCAACUACGAAAGCGUGGGGAGCAAACAGG
Molecule: ribosomal RNA, 253 nt
Filed under: uncultured bacterium
Lineage: Bacteria
Description: partial 16S ribosomal RNA
Rfam family: Bacterial small subunit ribosomal RNA
Source: RNAcentral